Long non-coding RNA from Chrysemys picta bellii (western painted turtle), 2435 nucleotides. RefSeq lists it as uncharacterized. Lineage: Eukaryota; Metazoa; Chordata; Testudines; Emydidae. The record is from RefSeq and is a predicted model, not a curated record.
CUUCCUGUAUCUGUGGCGCCUAGGGCUGGGCAUGUGUUCUGCUGGCCAGCUCCCCUCAUCCUUGCUCACAGCUGCCAGGUCGAUGUUGUCUUGGAGAACACAACUGAGGCGACACUGGAAUCCUGCCUCUUUUCUGGGAGGAAAAAGAAGGGCCACUUUUUAAAUUAACUACAAAAACAGCCACACUAUAAAAGGCUCCUUCCAAUCAUUUUCUAAGAGUUAGCAGUCUUUAAAGAACGAAAAAAGCCCCCUAUUAGACAAUUAAGAAGAGGAUACAAAUAUAACAUGUGCAACAAGCAAAUGGAAAUUCCGGUUAUAGUGACUCUACAUUUAUGAAGUAGAGAGUCCAGAGUGGUGAUAUUACAUGAUACGGAGACCUUACUUAUGCUUACACAGUACACGGAUGUGGGUUAAGAAAACAAGCUAAGUCACUGAGCACGUGCAGCAGCCAAAUUUCAAACAUUAAUAAAUUGGCUAUGUAGAAAAAAUAUAAAGCAAGGAAAAAUAAUUGACAUUAAAUUUUGCCUUGAAUAACACCUAUGAAGCCCUAAUUAAUUUCAAUAUGGAUUUCACAAAUGCAACAGAGAGCAGAAUUUGUCCUCUUGAGUCAUGAAAUUAAGAAGCUAAGUCUUGUUUUGUAUUUAAGUGACGCAUGAUACAUUUACAACACUGAGGAAUUUUCUUUGUUUCUUUUAUUUCCCUGCUCUUGUGUUGCAUAUAAAAAUAGCAAAAUAUAUGUUUUAAAAUUGCACAAAUAUGCUUUUACCCCAAGGCAAAAUGUCACUAAUUAUAGAAUUACAGUUUAAUGUGAGAAACUAGCCUUCUAUAUACUCUGAUUGAGGAAAUUUAUGUUCUAGGAACCAAAGUUGUGUGGGUUUCCAGACCUCUCUAUUUUUAAAUGUCCAGCAAUUAAUUUGAUGAACAUUGUUACCCUUUUGUAAACAAAAAAAAUAAAUCCACAUGACUAUAGAGCACAGUAUAGGAUUAACUGUGCAGUGCAGAAAGAGUGAGCAUGUUACAGAAUUUUUUUUAAAGAAAUCAUAUUAAUAGGACAAGUUAAUUAUACCGCUUUUCAGUGAUUAUUUUUCACAGAAUAUACAGUUGAACUGCACUUUGUAGAAAUAUAAAGAGUGCAGGACAUUGAACAUGGAAUAAAUGAAUUCUGAAAAAAAACUGCACCAACUAUAUAUUUUUCUCGGAACAGAAUAUUUGCAGUUUUUUCAACUAAAUUAUUCAAAAUAGUUUUUAUGUAACUCAAUACUCAUAAUUCAUUCAUUUAUAUUUAUGUAUGAACGUACAUUCUUUCGAAGUGUGAUCUAACAAAAUGGCAUUUGUUUACAUUUCUUGCAAAAUAACUGACAUGAUCCAAAUGCCAUUCCUUAAAUCACAAUUAGAUUUUAGUGUACUCCAAUUUUCAUAAAGCAUUGACAAUAAAUGGUAUGGAUUCCAUAAUGCCACUAUAUCUUUAUUUCAAGUAAAUCAGAAGAUAUCCAUGUGAUAUUUACCCUUUUAAAUAUAAAAUUGGUUACAUUUCAAAAUAAAACUACAAGUAUUGUAUUUAUAUGAACAAUUGCAUUUUGAUAACUGGAAUUUAAUAUUAUUGUUGAAAUCCAUAAAUUUUAAAUAAAUAUAAACAAUUUAAAAAAUAAUCUAGUUCUCCAGAUUACACAAAGUAAUUAGCUACAUGCAUCAUAAUUAUUACUGUAACAACAGCUAGUCAGAUGCCUGACAUUACAUAGUAUAUGGUCCAAUAAAUAAGGAUUUCAUAACAAAACUAAAAAUAAAGCUUGGGUCCAGAUACAAAUUAAACUAUAAAACAUUAUGUCAAAUGCUUGAGAAAUCUUCAUGUUCAUCUUUUAAAUUCUAAUUUAAAAUCCAAUAAAAUAGGUGUCAGAAAAUAAGGGAAACAAACUUGUUCAAAUUUGGUGUUAAAAAUAAUUGAAUUUGCCAAUUUUCUGAAAGGAUGUUUAAACUAACAUAGCUACAAAAAAUACAAAUAAAAAAAGCAAUGAUUGGUAUAGGCAAAAUAGUUCUAACAGUCUGAUUCAUGCUUAACAAGUAGACAUACUUAGCUUUUUUCAAAUUUAAGAUUUAUAUGUUAUGCAUAAUAAAAACGUGUAUAAUUUAAGGAAGCAAAAAAAACCAACAACCAAGAAACACAAUUAAUCUGCACACUACCUAUGUCAUAUUAAUUCACACAAAGACGACUUUUAAACAAAUCUGUCUAUAGUCUGAUGAUUGCAAAUGUAUGUAUAUAGAAUGUGUCCUAUGCUACUUAAUUCUUACCUCACCACAACAUAAGAAUGAAUACUUUUCAUGUCAUACUAUUCAAAGUGUACAAUUUCUUCUAAAGUCUGUGCCUUGCGCUGACUGCUGCUGUUGUCUGUAUAAUCUAUAAAUUAGCCUCUAUUUGCAAUAAAUGCUGCCUUUUCGAA